UACGUAGGGUGCGAGCGUUGUCCGGAAUUAUUGGGCGUAAAGAGCUCGUAGGCGGCUUGUCGCGUCGGAUGUGAAAGCCCGGGGCUUAACUCCGGGUCUGCAUUCGAUACGGGCAGGCUAGAGUUCGGUAGGGGAGAUCGGAAUUCCUGGUGUAGCGGUGAAAUGCGUAGAUAUCAGGAGGAAUACCUAUGGCGAAAGCAGGUAUCUGGGCCAUCACUAACGCUGAGCUGCGAAAGCUAGGGGAGCAAACAGG
RNAcentral lists this ribosomal RNA (253 nucleotides) under uncultured bacterium. RNAcentral's name for it is "partial 16S ribosomal RNA". It matches the Rfam family "Bacterial small subunit ribosomal RNA", at positions 524 to 776 of the family's 1533-position model. The record is from RNAcentral.